This 505-nucleotide ribosomal RNA is filed under the name uncultured bacterium. Its description in RNAcentral is "bacterial SSU rRNA". It matches the Rfam family "Bacterial small subunit ribosomal RNA", at positions 30 to 526 of the family's 1533-position model. The record is from RNAcentral.
AUUGAACGCUGGCGGCAUGCUUUACACAUGCAAGUCGAACGGCAGCACGGGUGCUUGCACCUGGUGGCGAGUGGCGAACGGGUGAGUAAUACAUCGGAACGUGUCCCGUAGAGGGGGAUAGCUCGGCGAAAGCCGGAUUAAUACCGCAUGAGAUCUACGGAUGAAAGCUGGGGACCUUCGGGCCUAGCGCUAUGGGGGCGGCCGAUGUCAGAUUAGGUAGUUGGUGGGGUAAAGGCCUACCAAGCCGACGAUCUGUAGCUGGUCUGAGAGGAUGAUCAGCCACACUGGAACUGAGACACGGUCCAGACUCCUACGGGAGGCAGCAGUGGGGAAUUUUGGACAAUGGGCGCAAGCCUGAUCCAGCCAUGCCGCGUGCAGGAAGAAGGCCUUCGGGUUGUAAACUGCUUUUGUCAGGAACGAAAAGCCCUGUGUGAAUAAUGCGGGGUGCUGACGGUACCUGAAGAAUAAGCACCGGCUAACUACGUGCCAGCCGCCGCCGUAACAC